AGGAGAGUUUGAUCCUGGCUCAGGAUGAACGCUGGCGGCGUGCCUAACACAUGCAAGUCGAACGGAGAUUUAACGCUGAUGAAGCUUCGGCGGAUUCUUGUUAAAUCUUAGUGGCGGACGGGUGAGUAACGCGUGGGCAACCUGCCUCAUACUGGGGGAUAACAGCUGGAAACGACUGUUAAUACCGCAUAAGCGCACGGUAUCGCAUGAUACAGUGUGAAAAACUCCGGUGGUAUGAGAUGGGCCCGCGUCAGAUUAGCCAGUUGGCAGGGUAACGGCCUACCAAAGCGACGAUCUGUAGCCGGCCUGAGAGGGCGGACGGCCACAUUGGGACUGAGACACGGCCCAAACUCCUACGGGAGGCAGCAGUGGGGGAUAUUGCACAAUGGAGGAAACUCUGAUGCAGCGACGCCGCGUGAGUGAAGAAGUAUUUCGGUAUGUAAAGCUCUAUCAGCAGGGAAGAAAGACUCGUAAGAGAGAUGACGGUACCUGACUAAGAAGCCCCGGCUAACUACGUGCCAGCAGCCGCGGUAAUACGUAGGGGGCAAGCGUUAUCCGGAUUUACUGGGUGUAAAGGGAGCGCAAACGGCUUAGCAAGUCUGAAGUGAAACCCCACGGCUCAACCGUGGGCUUGCUUUGGAAACUGUUAGGCUAGAGUACUGGAGAGGUAAGCGGAAUUCCUAGUGUAGCGGUGAAAUGCGUAGAUAUUAGGAGGAACAUCGGUGGCGAAGGCGGCUUACUGGACAGCAACUGACGUUGAGGCUCGAAGGCGUGGGGAGCAAACAGGAUUAGAUACCCUGGUAGUCCCCU
RNAcentral lists this ribosomal RNA (810 nucleotides) under uncultured Bacillota bacterium. RNAcentral's name for it is "bacterial SSU rRNA". It matches the Rfam family "Bacterial small subunit ribosomal RNA", at positions 1 to 799 of the family's 1533-position model. The record is from RNAcentral. Lineage: Bacteria; Bacillati; Bacillota.